UUAACGGAAAUUUGUAUGGAGUUCGAACGUUUGCCACAUUUGCCACUAGGGGCGCUUUUCCAACUGUAUUCAAAUUUGAGUUA
Molecule: microRNA precursor, 83 nt
Filed under: Bombyx mori (domestic silkworm)
Lineage: Eukaryota; Metazoa; Arthropoda; Insecta; Lepidoptera; Bombycidae
Description: mir-2807 microRNA precursor family
Rfam family: mir-2807 microRNA precursor family
Source: Rfam by way of RNAcentral